RNAcentral lists this ribosomal RNA (213 nucleotides) under uncultured bacterium. RNAcentral's name for it is "partial 16S ribosomal RNA". It matches the Rfam family "Bacterial small subunit ribosomal RNA", at positions 1289 to 1500 of the family's 1533-position model. The record is from RNAcentral.
CAGUUCGGAUUGAAGGCUGAAAUUCGCCUUCCAUGAAGCCGGAAUUGCUAGUAAUGGCAGGUCAGCAUACUGCCGUGAAUACGUUCCCGGGCCUUGUACACACCGCCCGUCACACCAUGAGAGUUGGGGAUACCCGAAGCCUGUGAGCUAACAGUAAUGAAGCAGCAGUCGAAGGUAGAAUCAAUGAUUGGGGUGAAGUCGUAACAAGGUACC